RNAcentral lists this long non-coding RNA (223 nucleotides) under Gallus gallus (chicken). The record is from RNAcentral. Lineage: Eukaryota; Metazoa; Chordata; Aves; Galliformes; Phasianidae.
CGAGGAGUACAUGCAGUCGGUGCAGGACUGGUAGGAAGGCUUGACUUUACUGAGGAUCCCAAACACAGCGUCAUGCUCAAAAUCCUCCGGGCAACUCCUUUUGCUGUUGUUGUUAUUCAAGUUCUCCCUAUUAAGCCUGCUCUCCUCCUUGUGCAUGGACAACCGCCGCUUCCACUUCUCCAUUGGGUUUUCCUCCCUGAUACCAUCCUCCCCCGGUUCCCCG